Molecule: ribosomal RNA, 1189 nt
Filed under: uncultured marine eukaryote
Lineage: Eukaryota
Description: SSU rRNA
Rfam family: Eukaryotic small subunit ribosomal RNA
Source: RNAcentral
GCGUAUACUAAAGUUGUUGCGGUUAAAAAGCUCGUAGUUGGAUCUUGGAAUGUGUUCAAGCGGGUCAGCUUCUGGCUGUUCGCUGCUUGACGUGUUCUUCUAUUUGGUUUUGGUGCGGUGCGCUUAACUGCGUGUCGCUCCCGGCCGAAACGUUUACCUUGAAAAAAUUAGAGUGUUCAAAGCAGACCUGUUUGAGUCUGAAUAUUCGUGCAUGGAAUAAUGAAAUAUGAAUUCGGUUCUAUUUUGUUGGUUUUCGGAUCUCGAGUUAAUGAUCAAGAGGGACAGACGGGGGCAUUCGUACUCUGCCGUUAGAGGUGAAAUUCUUGGAUCGGCGGAAGACGCGCAACUGCGAAAGCAUUUGCCAAGAAUGUUUUCUUUAAUCAAGAACGAUAGUCGGAGGUUCGAAGACGAUCAGAUACCGUCCUAGUUUCGACUGUAAACUAUGCCAGCUAACGAUCAGACAGAGUUCUCUACGACUUGUCUGGCAGUUUCCGGGAAACCAAAGCGUUUGGGUUCCGGGGGAAGUAUGGUUGCAAAGCUGAAACUUAAAGGAAUUGACGGAAGGGCACCACCAGGAGUGGAGCCUGCGGCUUAAUUUGACUCAACACGGGGAAACUCACCCGGCCCGGACACAGUGAGGAUUGACAGAUUGAGAGUUCUUUCUUGAUUCUGUGGGUGGUGGUGCAUGGCCGUUCUUAGUUGGUGGAGCGAUUUGUCUGGUUAAUUCCGAUAACGAACGAGACUCUGGCAUGUUAAAUAGUCGCGGAAGUGCGUAUGCACUUGCCGAAUUGACUUCUUAGAGGGACUAGUGAUUUUAAUUCACACGAGAUUGAGCAAUAACAGGUCUGUGAUGCCCUUAGAUGUUCGGGGCCGCACGCGCGCUACAAUGAGUCGAUCAACGUGCGUAUAUUUCCAAGGCCGAAAGGUCGAGGUAAUCCGUUGAACCCGACUCGUGCUAGGGAUAGGGACUUGUAAUUGUUUCCCUUGAACGAGGAAUUCCCAGUAAGCGCAAGUCAUCAGCUUGCGUUGAUUACGUCCCUGCCCUUUGUACACACCGCCCGUCGCUACUACCGAUUGAAUGGUUCAGUGAGAUAAUCGGAUAGGUAACUCGGUGAGCAGCAAUGUUUACCAAGCAUACAUAGAAGACGAUCAAACUCAGUCAUUUAGAGGAAGUAAAAGUCGUAACAAG